RNAcentral lists this ribosomal RNA (212 nucleotides) under Staphylococcus aureus. RNAcentral describes it as "partial 16S ribosomal RNA". It matches the Rfam family "Bacterial small subunit ribosomal RNA", at positions 1 to 206 of the family's 1533-position model. Lineage: Bacteria; Bacillati; Bacillota; Bacilli; Caryophanales; Staphylococcaceae. The record is from RNAcentral.
UUUAUGGAGAGUUUGAUCCUGGCUCAGGAUGAACGCUGGCGGCGUGCCUAAUACAUGCAAGUCGAGCGAACGGAUGAGAAGCUUGCUUCUCUGAUGUUAGCGGCGGACGGGUGAGUAACACGUGGAUAACCUACCUAUAAGACUGGGAUAACUUCGGGAAACCGGAGCUAAUACCGGAUAAUAUUUUGAGCCGCAUGGUUCAAAAGUGAAAG